UACAGAGGUCUCGAGCGUUAGUCGGAAUCACCGGGCAUAAAGCGCGUGUAGGCGGCAUCGUAAGUCGGGUGUGAAAUCCCUCGGCCCAACCGAGGAAUUGCGCCCGAAACUACCUUGCUUGAGGACCAGAGGGGAGCCUGGAAUUCCUGGUGGAGCGGUGAAAUGCGUUGAUAUCAGGAGGAACACCGGCGGCGAAGGCGAGGCUCUGGCUGGUUACUGACGCUGAGACGCGAAAGCUAGGGGAGCAAAUGGG
This 253-nucleotide ribosomal RNA is filed under the name uncultured bacterium. RNAcentral's name for it is "partial 16S ribosomal RNA". It matches the Rfam family "Bacterial small subunit ribosomal RNA", at positions 524 to 776 of the family's 1533-position model. The record is from RNAcentral.